This 369-nucleotide unclassified non-coding RNA is filed under the name uncultured bacterium. Its description in RNAcentral is "contains 16S-23S intergenic spacer region". The record is from RNAcentral.
UCCGGUUUGAAACCGGCAGUCGCGUUAGACAUGGUAAUUAACGCCGAGGGUUGCGCUCGUCGCGGGACUUAACCCAACACCUCACGGCACGAGCUGACGACAGCCAUGCAGCACCUGUGACGGUUCUCGACUUUACGAGUGGUUCCCCGUUUCCGGUUCUUACCACCAGCAUGUCAAACCUGGGUAAGGUUCUUCGCGUUGCGUCGAAUUGAACCACAUGCACCACCGCUUGUGCGGGCCCCCGUCAAUUCCUUUGAGUUUCAGCCUUGCGGCCGUACUCCCCAGGCGGGGUACUUCCUGCGUUAGCGCCGGCACCCAAGGGGUCGCUCCCCCAGGCACCUAGUACCCAUCGUUUACGGCGUGGACUAC